Molecule: unclassified non-coding RNA, 364 nt
Filed under: uncultured Chloroflexota bacterium
Lineage: Bacteria; Bacillati; Chloroflexota
Description: uncultured Chloroflexi bacterium contains 16S-23S intergenic spacer region
Source: RNAcentral
UCCGGGUUGGUCCCGGCGGUCCCGCCAGACAUCGUAACUGGCGGCGGGGGUUGCGCUCGUUGCGGGACUUAACCCAACACCUCACGGCACGAGCUGACGACAGCCGUGCAGCACCUGUGGCGGCUCCCUUGCGGGUCGCUUCCCUUUCGGGUCGCUACCACCGCCAUGUCAAGCCCGGGUAAGGUUCUUCGCGUUGCAUCGAAUUAAACCACACGCUCCGCUGCUUGUGCGGGCCCCCGUCAAUUCCUUUGAGUUUUAGCCUUGCGGCCGUAGUCCCCAGGCGGGGUGCUUAGUGCGUUAGCGACGGCACCGGGGGGGUCGAUACCCCCGACACCUAGCACCCAUCGUUUACGGCGUGGACUAC